Molecule: ribosomal RNA, 718 nt
Filed under: uncultured bacterium
Lineage: Bacteria
Description: bacterial SSU rRNA
Rfam family: Bacterial small subunit ribosomal RNA
Source: RNAcentral
UCGAACGCGAAAGUCCCGCAAGGGAUCAGUAGAGUGGCAAACGGGUGAGUAACACGUGGGUGACCUGCCUUCGAGUGGGGGAUAACGUCCCGAAAGGGACGCUAAUACCGCAUAACAUCCCGCCUUUUAACAGGUGGAUAUCAAAGCUGGGGAUCGCAAGACCUAGCGCUUGAAGAGGGGCCCGCGCCUGAUUAGCUAGUUGGUGGGGUAAUGGCUCACCAAGGCAACGAUCAGUAUCCGGCCUGAGAGGGCGGACGGACACACUGGGACUGAGACACGGCCCAGACUCCUACGGGAGGCAGCAGUGGGGAAUUGUUCGCAAUGGGCGCAAGCCUGACGACGCAACGCCGCGUGGAGGAUGAAGACCUUCGGGUCGUAAACUCCUUUCGAUCGAGACGAAUGGCCUCCGGGUGAACAAUCCGGAGGAGUGACGGUACCGAGAGAAGAAGCCCCGGCUAACUCCGUGCCAGCAGCCGCGGUAAUACGGGGGGGGCAAGCGUUGUUCGGAAUUACUGGGCGUAAAGGGCUCGUAGGUGGCCAACUAAGUCAGACGUGAAAUCCCUCGGCUUAACCGGGGAACUGCGUCUGAUACUGGAUGGCUUGAGUUUGGGAGAGGGACGCGGAAUUCCAGGUGUAGCGGUGAAAUGCGUAGAUAUCUGGAGGAACACCGGUGGCGAAGGCGGCGUCCUGGACCACACUGACACUGAGGAGCGAAAGC